Molecule: ribosomal RNA, 506 nt
Filed under: uncultured bacterium
Lineage: Bacteria
Description: partial 16S ribosomal RNA
Rfam family: Bacterial small subunit ribosomal RNA
Source: RNAcentral
AGUGAACGCUGGCGGCAGGCCUAACACAUGCAAGUCGAACGGCAGCACAGGAGAGCUUGCUCUCUGGGUGGCGAGUGGCGGACGGGUGAGGAAUAUAUCGGAAUCUACCCUUUCGUGGGGGAUAACGUAGGGAAACUUACGCUAAUACCGCAUACGAACUGAGGUUGAAAGCGGCGGACCGCAAGGCGUCGCGCGGAUGGAUGAGCCGAUAUCCGAUUAGCUAGUUGGCGGGGUAAAAGCCCAACAAGGCGACGAUCGGUAGCUGGUCUGAGAGGAUGAACAGACACACUGGAACUGAGACACGGUCCAGAAUCCUACGGGAGGCAGAAGUGGGGAAUAUUGGACAAUGGGCGAAAGCCUGAUCCAGCCAUGCCGCGUGUGUGAAGAAGGCCUUCGGGUUGUAAAGCGCUUUUGUUGGGAAAGAAAAGCGGUCGGUUAAUACCCGGUCGUUCUGACGGUACCCAAAGAAUAAGCACCGGCUAACUUCGUGCCAGCAGCCGCCGUAA